GGAGGCAGAUCAGGGGCAGAGCCAGCCAGGGCCGGCGCGUCCAUAAGGCGGCACAGGCGGCCGCCUUAGGGCGCACUGGCUCUGGGGGCGCAAAAUUCCAGUGACCGGCAGGAGGGAAGUGCUCCCUCCUGCCAGGCCACCUCCUGGAUCCCCGGCGCUAAGCGACAGGGAACAGAGGGGCGAGGGGAGAGGAACACUAAGGGACAGGGAAAGGAGGGGGGAAGGGAAAGGAACACUGAGGAACAGGAAAAGGAGGAGAGAGGGGAGAGGUACAGUAAGGGUCAGAGAAGGGAGGGGACCAUUAAGGGACAGGGAGAGGGGCUGGAUGUGAAAGAAACACACACCGGGGCUUGAGAAGGAAAGAGACACAAAGGAGCUGGGAAGAAUAAAAGACACAAAGGGGCUAGGAGAAAAGGAGUCACACAAAGGGGCUGGGAGGAGUAAGACACAAAAUGUGGGAGGAUGUAAGAGUCAUACAAAGAGGAGAGAUAGGAGACACACAAAGGCAAAGGGAGUCAGAUAUUUAAAAGACGGGAUAAGAAACACAAAAGGGAGGUUAAGAGGCACAUGGGUGAAGAUGU
Pelobates cultripes (western spadefoot toad) is the source of this 581-nucleotide non-coding RNA. The record is from the annotation of a GenBank genome assembly. NCBI's taxonomy places the organism in Eukaryota, Metazoa, Chordata, Amphibia, Anura, Pelobatidae.